RNAcentral lists this transfer RNA (83 nucleotides) under Pediastrum duplex. RNAcentral describes it as "tRNA-Tyr". It matches the Rfam family "tRNA". Rfam says of the family: Transfer RNA (tRNA) molecules are approximately 80 nucleotides in length. The record is from RNAcentral. Lineage: Eukaryota; Viridiplantae; Chlorophyta; Chlorophyceae; Sphaeropleales; Hydrodictyaceae.
GGUAGGGUGACUGAGUGGCUAAAGGUGAGAGGUUGUAAACCUCUUGAGUUUUCUCAUCGCAGGUUCGAAUCCUGCCCGUGCCA